UGGGGAAUAUUGGACAAUGGGGGGAACCCUGAUCCAGCCAUGCCGCGUGUGUGAAGAAGGCCUUAUGGUUGUAAAGCACUUUAAGCGAGGAGGAGGGUACUGGUAUUAAUACUACCAGGUACUGGACGUUACUCGCAGUAUAAGCACCGGCUAACUCUGUGCCAGCAGCCGCGGUAAUACAGAGGGUGCGAGCGUUAAUCGGAUUUACUGGGCGUAAAGCGUGCGUAGGCGGCUAAUUGAGUCGGAUGUGAAAUCCCCGAGCUUAACGUGGGAAUUGCAUUCGAUACUGGUUAGCUAGAGUGUGGGAGAGGAUGGUAGAAUUCCAGGUGUAGCGGUGAAAUGCGUAGAGAUCUGGAGGAAUACCGAUGGCGAAGGCAGCCAUCUGGCCUAACACUGACGCUGAGGUACGAAAGCAUGGGGAGCAAACAGG
RNAcentral lists this ribosomal RNA (430 nucleotides) under Pseudomonadota bacterium. Its description in RNAcentral is "Proteobacteria bacterium partial 16S ribosomal RNA". It matches the Rfam family "Bacterial small subunit ribosomal RNA", at positions 355 to 776 of the family's 1533-position model. Lineage: Bacteria; Pseudomonadati; Pseudomonadota. The record is from RNAcentral.